Molecule: transfer RNA, 66 nt
Filed under: Procambarus acutus
Lineage: Eukaryota; Metazoa; Arthropoda; Malacostraca; Decapoda; Cambaridae
Description: tRNA-Ser
Source: RNAcentral
UAAAGUUUAGUUUAUAAAAAACAAAUGUUUUGAAAACAUUAAUAGGAAUGUAAUAUCCAACUUUUA